CGGGGUGUAGCUCAGUUGGUUAGAGUCCACGUCUGGGGGGCGUGUGGUCGCUGGUUCAAGUCCAGUCACCCCGA
This 74-nucleotide transfer RNA is filed under the name Blattabacterium sp. (Mastotermes darwiniensis) str. MADAR. RNAcentral describes it as "tRNA-Pro (GGG) (tRNA-Pro-GGG-1-1)". It matches the Rfam family "tRNA". Rfam says of the family: Transfer RNA (tRNA) molecules are approximately 80 nucleotides in length. Lineage: Bacteria; Pseudomonadati; Bacteroidota; Flavobacteriia; Flavobacteriales; Blattabacteriaceae. RNAcentral also lists the same sequence under 1 other name. The record is from RNAcentral.